RNAcentral lists this ribosomal RNA (253 nucleotides) under uncultured bacterium. Its description in RNAcentral is "partial 16S ribosomal RNA". It matches the Rfam family "Bacterial small subunit ribosomal RNA", at positions 524 to 776 of the family's 1533-position model. The record is from RNAcentral.
CACGUAGGGGGCAAGCGUUGUCCGGAUUUAUUGGGCGUAAAGAGCUCGUAGGCGGUUCGCUAAGUCGGGUGUGAAACCUCCAGGCUUAACCGGGGAACUGCACCUGAUACUGGAUGGCUUGAGUUUGGGAGAGGGAUGCGGAAUUCCAGGUGUAGCGGUGAAAUGCGUAGAUAUCUGGAGGAACACCGGUGGCGAAGGCGGCAUCCUGGACCAACACUGACGCUGAGGAGCGAAAGCCAGGGGAGCAAACGGG